GAAUUUGAGAGAGAUCUCUGGUUCUAAAGAGAAGUUAACUUUUCUCCCAGUUCUCUCAACUGUACCAAAAUGUGACUCCCCAGAUAAUUCUAAUAGCAAUACUAAUAAUGGGUUAUAGUAUAGAACACAAGUUUUGUUACUGUUCUUUUGAGUUUUCUUUUAAUUAAAAACUAAUGUCUGAUACCAACAUUUAUCUAUUUUCCAGCCUCAGAUGCCUGUAAUGAAGCCAUCUGAAAUAAAUCAGAGGUCAAGAUACAGCCAAGAUAUCCAACAGCCCUCAAGAACCAUUUAUCAAGGUGAUCCCUGAUAAUAGAUUGAAAACUGGAAAGAAUCAGGAAUGGAAAUUCCCAAGUGAGCUGAAUGGAGAGGCAGCAAGUGAGAAAAAGAGGGACAUGAGCACUUGAAGAAAAGAGCACACAGAAAAGAAACAGGGAUACUUUCAAUCUCCCCAUACCACAGAGGAGACAACCGGUGUUGUGGCCUUACUAGACUUGGUCAAUCAGACUCAGAAAGCCGAGCACCUCCGUGAAAGGUGGUCCAGAAUUGGUGACAGCCAGGGCAAAGAGAGAGCCUUGCUUUUCUGGUGUCCAGCUUCAAGAGAGAAUAUGGGCAAUUCCAACUUCUCUUCAGGUCCUUGAUGGGAGAAAGUCUCUGGGAAGAAGCUAACAUGUAGCAUUUCAAUCAUGUCCCUAUUUCCAUCUUGCUACACAAGAGAUUCAAGGAAUUUUCCCUUGGGUGAGAUUGGAGAUAUCCCUCUUGAUUGAGGUGAGUUAUCUUGCUCCCAACAGAAGACUUCAUUCAUUUUAUGUUCUUAUAUGUAUACUUCUCUGCUUUCUGUUUUGCUACUGACUUGGAUAAGUAGAUUUCUUCGCAAUUGUCUACGUGUAUUCAUUGUGGAACUGGAG
This 905-nucleotide long non-coding RNA is filed under the name Monodelphis domestica (gray short-tailed opossum). RNAcentral's name for it is "lncRNA (ENSMODG00000042413.1)". The record is from RNAcentral. Lineage: Eukaryota; Metazoa; Chordata; Mammalia; Didelphimorphia; Didelphidae.